Molecule: unclassified non-coding RNA, 207 nt
Filed under: Hevea brasiliensis (rubber tree)
Lineage: Eukaryota; Viridiplantae; Streptophyta; Magnoliopsida; Malpighiales; Euphorbiaceae
Source: RNAcentral
CAAGAGUAGCUGGCUUAGCUUCAUUGCCAUUUAAAGGUAAUCUUGCCUUAUUAGCUUAAGCAAAGUCAUGUAAAGAAGAUGUGCAAAUGCUGAGGAAAAAAGGGAUGUCUCCCCACAUGGGGUCUUAAAACUGCAACAAGUGCAGACCCAACUUUAAAUUUUGUCACCUAAUAUUGGGAGUAAAUCGGCCUAAGCACAAAUGAUCUU